RNAcentral lists this ribosomal RNA (1022 nucleotides) under Vibrio alginolyticus. Its description in RNAcentral is "bacterial SSU rRNA". It matches the Rfam family "Bacterial small subunit ribosomal RNA", at positions 113 to 1127 of the family's 1533-position model. The record is from RNAcentral. Lineage: Bacteria; Pseudomonadati; Pseudomonadota; Gammaproteobacteria; Vibrionales; Vibrionaceae.
AUGCCUAGGAAAUUGCCCUGAUGUGGGGGAUAACCAUUGGAAACGAUGGCUAAUACCGCAUGAUGCCUACGGGCCAAAGAGGGGGACCUUCGGGCCUCUCGCGUCAGGAUAUGCCUAGGUGGGAUUAGCUAGUUGGUGAGGUAAGGGCUCACCAAGGCGACGAUCCCUAGCUGGUCUGAGAGGAUGAUCAGCCACACUGGAACUGAGACACGGUCCAGACUCCUACGGGAGGCAGCAGUGGGGAAUAUUGCACAAUGGGCGCAAGCCUGAUGCAGCCAUGCCGCGUGUGUGAAGAAGGCCUUCGGGUUGUAAAGCACUUUCAGUCGUGAGGAAGGUGGUGUAGUUAAUAGCUGCAUUAUUUGACGUUAGCGACAGAAGAAGCACCGGCUAACUCCGUGCCAGCAGCCGCGGUAAUACGGAGGGUGCGAGCGUUAAUCGGAAUUACUGGGCGUAAAGCGCAUGCAGGUGGUUUGUUAAGUCAGAUGUGAAAGCCCGGGGCUCAACCUCGGAAUAGCAUUUGAAACUGGCAGACUAGAGUACUGUAGAGGGGGGGUAGAAAUUUCAGGUGUAGCGGUGAAAUGCGUAGAGAUCUGAAGGAAUACCGGUGGCGAAGGCGGCCCCCUGGACAGAUACUGACACUCAGAUGCGAAAGCGUGGGGAGCAAACAGGAUUAGAUACCCUGGUAGUCCACGCCGUAAACGAUGUCUACUUGGGAGGUUGUGGCCUUGAGCCGUGGCUUUCGGAGCUAACGCGUUAAGUAGACCGCCUGGGGGAGUACGGUCGCAAGAUUAAAACUCAAAUGAAUUGACGGGGGCCCGCACAAGCGGUGGAGCAUGUGGUUUAAUUCGAUGCAACGCGAAGAACCUUACCUACUCUUGACAUCCAGAGAACUUUCCAGAGAUGGAUUGGUGCCUUCGGGAACUCUGAGACAGGUGCUGCAUGGCUGUCGUCAGCUCGUGUUGUGAAAUGUUGGGUUAAGUCCCGCAACGAGCGCAACCCUUAUCCUUGUUUGCCAGCGAGUA